This 327-nucleotide RNase MRP RNA is filed under the name Anopheles darlingi. RNAcentral's name for it is "RNase MRP". It matches the Rfam family "RNase MRP". From Rfam's summary of the family: RNase MRP is an enzymatically active ribonucleoprotein with two distinct roles in eukaryotes. In mitochondria it plays a direct role in the initiation of mitochondrial DNA replication. Lineage: Eukaryota; Metazoa; Arthropoda; Insecta; Diptera; Culicidae. The record is from Rfam by way of RNAcentral.
CGGUUCUUUCUAGCUCAACUCUCGUGGUGCCAUACGAGUUUCUUCUCGAUAACUCUGCCUUGCUUCUGUGCUACUCCGUGGCGUUGAAGCAUACCAUGGGAAAAGUCCCCGGGCCUAGGACAGAAAGUGUCAGAACUUCAUUGGUUCCUAUUGCAGCAGUCAGAAGUCGGUGGCGGCGUCGACGCUCGUCGUCGUCGUCAUUCCUUGGCUUAGACAAUAGUUGCAAAUAAGCCAGACCUAUUCUAUAGUAAUGUUGAGAAGCGGAAGUUUGGUCUUCACUGUACCUUACUUCCUGCUGAACACAAUGGGGCUUACUACGAAGGAACU